Long non-coding RNA from Clupea harengus (Atlantic herring), 279 nucleotides. RefSeq lists it as uncharacterized. NCBI's taxonomy places the organism in Eukaryota, Metazoa, Chordata, Actinopteri, Clupeiformes, Clupeidae. The record is from RefSeq and is a predicted model, not a curated record.
GGGCUUGCUAGUUCCUGUUAUUAACAGCAACCCUUCCUGACUGACACUUCCGCGGUACCAAAGACGUGUGCAGUACUCAAGACAACCAAGGCUGCAGUUUACAUUGUAGUGUCCCUGUGGUGAGAGACCGUCAUCAUUUUUAAUGCUGUUCACAAUGUUUUGGGUUGUCUACUUUCAGCAUCUCAGGAAGGUGGAGUAUUUGAUAAAAGUGGGGAAUGAACGAGGAAGAAGCAGAUACCUUUUGGAAUGCUAAUAAGAAGUAGAACUGGAGAGAUACAC